UGUCAUUCCUGCAGUCGAGAUUCCUACGGGAGGCAGCAGUGGGGAAUCUUAGACAAUGGGCGCAAGCCUGAUCUAGCCAUGCCGCGUGAGUGAUGAAGGCCCUAGGGUCGUAAAGCUCUUUCGCCAGAGAUGAUAAUGACAGUAUCUGGUAAAGAAACCCCGGCUAACUCCGUGCCAGCAGCCGCGGUAAUACGGAGGGGGUUAGCGUUGUUCGGAAUUACUGGGCGUAAAGCGCGCGUAGGCGGACUAUUAAGUUAGAGGUGAAAUCCCAGGGCUCAACCCUGGAACUGCCUUUAAUACUGGUAGUCUUGAGUUCGAGAGAGGUGAGUGGAAUUCCAAGUGUAGAGGUGAAAUUCGUAGAUAUUUGGAGGAACACCAGUGGCGAAGGCGGCUCACUGGCUCGAUACUGACGCUGAGGUGCGAAAGUGUGGGGAGCAAACAGGAUUAGAUACCCUGGUAGUCCACACCGUAAACGAUGAAUGCCAGUCGUCGGGUAGCAUGCUGCUCGGUGACACACCUAACGGAUUAAGCAUUCCGCCUGGGGAGUACGGUCGCAAGAUUAAAACUCAAAGGAAUUGACGG
RNAcentral lists this ribosomal RNA (582 nucleotides) under Thalassobacter stenotrophicus. RNAcentral's name for it is "bacterial SSU rRNA". It matches the Rfam family "Bacterial small subunit ribosomal RNA", at positions 320 to 916 of the family's 1533-position model. Lineage: Bacteria; Pseudomonadati; Pseudomonadota; Alphaproteobacteria; Rhodobacterales; Roseobacteraceae. The record is from RNAcentral.